GACGAACGCUGGCGGCGUGCCUAAUACAUGCAAGUCGAGCGGGCCUCCGGAGGUGCUUGCACCUCCGGAAGGCCAGCGGCGGACGGGUGAGUAACACGUGGGCAACCUGCCUUUGAGGCCGGGAUAACACCGGGAAACCGGUGCUAAUACCGGAUGCGUCCCCUUUCGCGCCUGCGAGAGGGGAGAAAGACGGUCUUUAAGGCCGUCGCUCAAAGAGGGGCCCGCGGCGCAUUAGCUGGUUGGUGGGGUAAGGGCCUACCAAGGCGACGAUGCGUUGCCGACGUGGGAGGGUGAUCGGCCACACUGGGACUGAGACACGGCCCAGACUCCUGCGGGAGGCAGCAGUAGGGAAUCAUCCGCAAUGGGCGAAAGCCUGACGGUGCAACGCCGCGUGAGUGAGGAAGGUUUUCGGAUCGUAAAGCUCUGUUGUGAGGGAAGAACAGCUUCCGGAGGAAAUGCCGGAGGUUUGCCGGUACCUCACCAGAAAGCCCCGGCUAACUACGUGCCAGCCGCCGCCGUAA
RNAcentral lists this ribosomal RNA (521 nucleotides) under uncultured bacterium. RNAcentral's name for it is "partial 16S ribosomal RNA". It matches the Rfam family "Bacterial small subunit ribosomal RNA", at positions 28 to 523 of the family's 1533-position model. The record is from RNAcentral.